CCAAAUACUUAGCCCCACUUUUUCUUAUGUAAACAUCACACCACCACCCCCUUCAACUAAAACAUUUUAAAAACUUAGUAAAGGCGAUUAAAAAAUUUAUUGGAGCAAUAACAAUAGUACCGCAAGGGAACAGUGAAAUAAAAAUGAAACAACUUUUAAGCACUAAAAAGUAGAGCUUUAUUCUCGUACCUUUUGCAUCAUGAUUUAACUAGUCUAAAUAAGCAAAAAGACUUUUAGUUUACCUCCCCGAACCUAGACGAGCUAUUUUAAGACAGCUUAUUGAGCAAAUCCGUCUCUGUCGCAAAAGAGUGGAAAGAUCUUAAAAUAGCGGUGACAGACCAAACGAGUCUAGUGAUAGCUGGUUGCUCAUUAAAAGGAUUUUAGUCCUGCUUAAAGUUACUUAUAUAAAAUAAAAUUUCUUUUAAGUUAUUCAAAUAAGGUACAGCCUAUUUGAAAAAGGAAACAACCUCAAUUAUUGGGUUAUCAUUACUGAAUUUAUGACAAAGUAGGCUUAAAAGCAGCCACCUUCAAUAAAAGCGUCAAAGCUUCCUCAUAGUAUUCUUUCUAAUACCUUCAUCCUCACUUAACCCCUUCUCAACAAAGAGCAAUUCUAUACUUUUAUAGAAAAUUUUCUGUUAAAACUAGUAAUAAGAAGCCAGCCCUUCUCUUUAAUGCAAACUUAUAUCAGACAGGACACCCCACUGAUUAUUAACGUCCCUAAAGACAUUGUAAUAACUAAUCAAGAAAAUAUUACCUUUCCCCAACGUUAACCUAACACAAGAGCAUUUUAAGAAAGAUUAAAAGAAAAAGAAGGAACUCGGCAAAUUUUAGCCUCGCCUGUUUACCAAAAACAUCGCCUCUUGAUAUAGCUAUAAGAGGUCAUGCCUGCCCAGUGACUCUGUUCAACGGCCGCGGUAUCCUAACCGUGCGAAGGUAGCGUAAUCACUUGUUCUUUAAAUGAGGACUAGUAUGAAUGGCCCCACGAAAGCUACACUGUCUCCUUUUUCUAAUCAAUGAAACUAAUCUUCUCGUGAAGAAGCGAGAAUAUUUUUAUAAGACGAGAAGACCCUAUGGAGCUUUAAACAAGCGAAAUAUUUGCUUUAACUUUUUAUUCUCCCGAGUUUUUCCUGCAUUCAAGCAUUUUAAUUUCUAGUUUUAGGUUGGGGUGACCACGGAGUAAAAUUCAACCUCCAUGAUGAAUAAGCAUUUUUCCCUUUAAGCUACAAGCUACUUCUUAAAGCAUCAACAAAUUGACUUUCAUUGACCCAAUAUUUUGAUCAACGAACCAAGUUACCCUAGGGAUAACAGCGCAAUCUACUUCGAGAGCUCAUAUCGACAAGUAGGUUUACGACCUCGAUGUUGGAUCAGGGUAUCCUAGUGGUGCAGCCGCUACUAAAGGUUCGUUUGUUCAACGAUUAAAACCCU
This 1425-nucleotide ribosomal RNA is filed under the name Leucostethus brachistriatus. Its description in RNAcentral is "partial 16S ribosomal RNA". It matches the Rfam family "Bacterial large subunit ribosomal RNA", at positions 408 to 2597 of the family's 2925-position model. Lineage: Eukaryota; Metazoa; Chordata; Amphibia; Anura; Dendrobatidae. The record is from RNAcentral.